This 408-nucleotide ribosomal RNA is filed under the name uncultured bacterium. RNAcentral describes it as "partial 16S ribosomal RNA". It matches the Rfam family "Bacterial small subunit ribosomal RNA", at positions 28 to 526 of the family's 1533-position model. The record is from RNAcentral.
GACGAACGCUGGCGGCGUGCUUAACACAUGCAAGUCGAACGAAGUGGCGAACGGGUGAGUAACGCGUAAUCAACCUGCCCUUCAGGGGGGGACACCAGUUGGAAACGACUGCUAAUCCCGCAUACUGAAGGAGGGGAUUGCGUCUGAUUGGCUAGUUGGAGGGGUAACGCCCAACCAAGGCGAUGAUCAGUAGCCGGUCUGGGAGGAUGAACGGCCAAAUUGGGACUGAGACACGGCCCAGACUCCUAAGGGAGGCAGCAGUGGGGAAUCUUCCGCAAUGGACGAAAGUCUGACGGAGCAACGCCGCGUGAGUGAUGACGGCCUUCGGGUUGUAAAGCUCUGUUAAUCGGGACGCGGUACCGGAAUAGAAAGCCACGGCUAACUACGUGCCAGCAGCCGCGGUAAUUC